This 373-nucleotide ribosomal RNA is filed under the name uncultured eukaryote. RNAcentral describes it as "partial 18S ribosomal RNA". It matches the Rfam family "Eukaryotic small subunit ribosomal RNA", at positions 592 to 976 of the family's 1831-position model. The record is from RNAcentral.
CAAUAGCGUAUAUUUAAGUUGUUGCAGUUAAAAAGCUCGUAGUUGGAUUUCGGUUGAGAACGGCCGGUCCGCCGUUUGGUGUGCACUGGCUGGUUUCAACUUCCUGUAGAGGACGUGCUCUGGCUUCACGGCUGGACGCGGAGUCUACGUGGUUACUUUGAAAAAAUUAGAGUGUUCAAAGCGGGCUUACGCUUGAAUAUUUCAGCAUGGAAUAACACUAUAGGACUCCUGUCCUAUUUCGUUGGUCUCGGGACGGGAGUAAUGAUUAAGAGGAACAGUUGGGGGCAUUCGUAUUCCGAUGUCAGAGGUGAAAUUCUUGGAUUAUCGGAAGACGAACAUCUGCGAAAGCAUUUGCCAAGGAUGUUUUCAUUAA